RNAcentral lists this microRNA (22 nucleotides) under Homo sapiens (human). Its description in RNAcentral is "hsa-miR-4700-5p". Lineage: Eukaryota; Metazoa; Chordata; Mammalia; Primates; Hominidae. The record is from miRBase by way of RNAcentral.
UCUGGGGAUGAGGACAGUGUGU